UACGUAGGGGGCAAGCGUUGUCCGGAAUCAUUGGGCGUAAAGAGCGCGUAGGCGGUCCGGUAAGUCCGCUCUGAAAGCCCGGGGCUCAACCCCGGGAGGCGGGCGGAUACUGUCGGGCUAGAGUCCGGAAGAGGCGAGUGGAAUUCCUGGUGUAGCGGUGAAAUGCGCAGAUAUCAGGAGGAACACCGAUGGCGAAGGCAGCUCGCUGGGACGGUACUGACGCUGAGGCGCGAAAGCGUGGGAGCAAACAGG
This 252-nucleotide ribosomal RNA is filed under the name uncultured bacterium. RNAcentral describes it as "partial 16S ribosomal RNA". It matches the Rfam family "Bacterial small subunit ribosomal RNA", at positions 524 to 776 of the family's 1533-position model. The record is from RNAcentral.